Molecule: ribosomal RNA, 564 nt
Filed under: Phasmahyla cruzi
Lineage: Eukaryota; Metazoa; Chordata; Amphibia; Anura; Hylidae
Description: LSU rRNA
Rfam family: Bacterial large subunit ribosomal RNA
Source: RNAcentral
UCGCCUUCUGAACUUAUAGAAGGUCUAGCCUGCCCAGUGACUCUGUUUAACGGCCGCGGUAUCCUAACCGUGCGAAGGUAGCGUAAUCACUUGUUCUUUAAAUGAGGACUAGUAUGAACGGCACCACGAAGGUUACACUGUCUCCUUUCUCUAAUCAGUGAAAUUGAUUUCCCCGUGAAGAAGCGGGAAUAAAUAUAUAAGACGAGAAGACCCUAUGGAGCUUUAAACUAUUAACAAUUAUUUUUAUUUAAUAAACCUCAAGGUUAUAAAAUCAACUUAAAUAUUCUGAUUUUUAGUUUUCGGUUGGGGUGACCACGGAGUAAAACUUAUCCUCCAUGAUGAAUUAGAGCCUGUCUCUAAGCAAAAAACUACAAUUUUAAGCAUCAAAAAAUUGACUCUAUUGACCCAAUAUUUGAUCAACGAACCAAGUUACCCUAGGGAUAACAGCGCAAUCCAUCUUGAGAGCUCAUAUCGACAGAUGGGUUUACGACCUCGAUGUUGGAUCAGGAUAUCCAAGUGGUGCAGCCGCUACUAAAGGUUCGUUUGUUCAACGAUUAAAAUCCU